This 89-nucleotide transfer RNA is filed under the name Deinococcus wulumuqiensis. RNAcentral describes it as "tRNA-Ser". The record is from RNAcentral. Lineage: Bacteria; Thermotogati; Deinococcota; Deinococci; Deinococcales; Deinococcaceae.
UGCGGGCGACGCGGUGGUGACCACGCCGCAGGAAACGGUGCCGGGGGCGCUGGCGUCCACGCCGACGGUGCUGCGCCGCCCGCCCGCGU